This 253-nucleotide ribosomal RNA is filed under the name uncultured bacterium. RNAcentral's name for it is "partial 16S ribosomal RNA". It matches the Rfam family "Bacterial small subunit ribosomal RNA", at positions 524 to 776 of the family's 1533-position model. The record is from RNAcentral.
UACGUAGGUGACAAGCGUUGUCCGGAUUUACUGGGCGUAAAGCGUGCGCAGGCGGUUUGCUAAGACAGGUGUGAAAUCCCCGGGCUUAACCUGGGAACUGCGCUUGUAACUGGCAAGCUAGAGUGUGGCAGAGGGGGGUGGAAUUCCACGUGUAGCAGUGAAAUGCGUAGAGAUGUGGAGGAACACCGAUGGCGAAGGCAGCCCCCUGGGCUAACACUGACGCUCAUGCACGAAAGCGUGGGGAGCAAACAGG